CCUACGGGGGGCUGCAGUGGGGAAUAUUGGACAAUGGGGGGAACCCUGAUCCAGCCAUGCCGCGUGUGUGAAGAAGGCCCUCGGGUUGUAAAGCACUUUCAGUGAGGAAGAACGCCUGGUGGUUAAUACCCAUCAGGAAAGACAUCACUCACAGAAGAAGCACCGGCUAACUCCGUGCCAGCAGCCGCGGUAAUACGGAGGGUGCGAGCGUUAAUCGGAAUUACUGGGCGUAAAGCGCGCGUAGGUGGCUUGAUAAGCCGGUUGUGAAAGCCCCGGGCUCAACCUGGGAACGGCAUCCGGAACUGUCAAGCUAGAGUGCAGGAGAGGAAGGUAGAAUUCCCGGUGUAGCGGUGAAAUGCGUAGAGAUCGGGAGGAAUACCAGUGGCGAAGGCGGCCUUCUGGACUGACACUGACACUGAGGUGCGAAAGCGUGGGUAGCAAACAGGAUUAGAUAUCCGAGUAGUC
Molecule: ribosomal RNA, 465 nt
Filed under: Vreelandella stevensii
Lineage: Bacteria; Pseudomonadati; Pseudomonadota; Gammaproteobacteria; Oceanospirillales; Halomonadaceae
Description: partial 16S ribosomal RNA
Rfam family: Bacterial small subunit ribosomal RNA
Source: RNAcentral